RNAcentral lists this transfer RNA (86 nucleotides) under Chitinispirillaceae bacterium. RNAcentral describes it as "tRNA-Ser". It matches the Rfam family "tRNA". Rfam says of the family: Transfer RNA (tRNA) molecules are approximately 80 nucleotides in length. The record is from RNAcentral. Lineage: Bacteria; Pseudomonadati; Fibrobacterota; Chitinispirillia; Chitinispirillales; Chitinispirillaceae.
GGAGAGAUGCCCGAGUGGUCGAAGGGGCACGCCUGGAGAGCGUGUGUGCGGAUCCCGUACCCUGGGUUCAAAUCCCAGUCUCUCCG